CCCUUAGAUGUUCUGGGCCGCACGCGCGCUACACUGAUUCAUGCAACGAGUUUUGUCCUUGGCUGAUAGGCCUGGGUAAUCUUUGAACGUGAAUCGUGAUGGGGAUAGAUGAUUGCAAUUAUUCAUCUUCAACGAGGAAUUCCUAGUAAACGCAAGUCAUCAGCUUGCAUUGAUUACGUCCCUGCCCUUUGUACACACCGCCCGUCGCACCUACCGAUUGAAUGGUCCGGUGAAAUCUUCGGAUCUGAGAGAUGUCUGAUUAAUUUCGGACGCCUUUUGGAAAAGUUGCUUAAACCUUACCAUUUAGAGGAAGGUGAAGUCGUAACA
This 327-nucleotide ribosomal RNA is filed under the name uncultured eukaryote. RNAcentral's name for it is "partial 18S ribosomal RNA". It matches the Rfam family "Eukaryotic small subunit ribosomal RNA", at positions 1470 to 1796 of the family's 1831-position model. The record is from RNAcentral.